Molecule: ribosomal RNA, 521 nt
Filed under: Pseudovibrio sp. Pv269
Lineage: Bacteria; Pseudomonadati; Pseudomonadota; Alphaproteobacteria; Hyphomicrobiales; Stappiaceae
Description: bacterial SSU rRNA
Rfam family: Bacterial small subunit ribosomal RNA
Source: RNAcentral
ACGGAUCCUUCGGGAUUAGUGGCAGACGGGUGAGUAACGCGUGGGAAGCUACCUUGUGGUAGGGGACAACAGUUGGAAACGACUGCUAAUACCCUAUGAGCCCUAUGGGGGAAAGAUUUAUCGCCAUGAGAUGUGCCCGCGUUAGAUUAGCUAGUUGGUAAGGUAAUGGCUUACCAAGGCGACGAUCUAUAGCUGGUCUGAGAGGAUGAUCAGCCACACUGGGACUGAGACACGGCCCAGACUCCUACGGGAGGCAGCAGUGGGGAAUAUUGGACAAUGGGGGCAACCCUGAUCCAGCCAUGCCGCGUGUGUGAUGACGGCCUUAGGGUUGUAAAGCACUUUCAGCAGUGAAGAUAAUGACAUUAACUGCAGAAGAAGCCCCGGCUAACUUCGUGCCAGCAGCCGCGGUAAUACGAAGGGGGCUAGCGUUGUUCGGAAUCACUGGGCGUAAAGAGUACGUAGGCGGACUGAUAAGUUAGGGGUGAAAUCCCAAGGCUCAACCUUGGAACUGCCUUUGAUAC